Pocillopora damicornis (cauliflower coral) is the source of this 72-nucleotide small nucleolar RNA. RefSeq annotates it as small nucleolar RNA SNORD18. The record is from RefSeq and is a predicted model, not a curated record. NCBI's taxonomy places the organism in Eukaryota, Metazoa, Cnidaria, Anthozoa, Scleractinia, Pocilloporidae.
UAAUUAUGAUGAGUACUAUACUUCAAGGUCCGUGUUUUUGAUUGACCCUGAUAAUAUAGAAGUUCUGAGCUG